AGUGAACGCUGGCGGUAGGCCUAACACAUGCAAGUCGAACGGCAGCACAGUAAGAGCUUGCUCUUACGGGUGGCGAGUGGCGGACGGGUGAGGAAUACAUCGGAAUCUACUUUUUCGUGGGGGAUAACGUAGGGAAACUUACGCUAAUACCGCAUACGACCUACGGGUGAAAGCAGGGGAUCUUCGGACCUUGCGCGAUUGAAUGAGCCGAUGUCGGAUUAGCUAGUUGGCGGGGUAAAGGCCCACCAAGGCGACGAUCCGUAGCUGGUCUGAGAGGAUGAUCCGCCAACCUGGAACUGAGAACCGUCCCAAACCCCAACGGGGGGCAGCAGGGGGGAAUAUGGGAAAAGGGGCGCAACCCUGUCCCAGCCAUCCCGGGGGGGUGAAGAAGGCCUUCGGGUUUUAAAGCCCUUUUUUUGGGAAAAAAAAGCAGCAGGUUAAUCCCCCGCUUUUCUGACGGAACCCAAAGAAUAAGCCCCGGCUAACUUCGU
This 491-nucleotide ribosomal RNA is filed under the name uncultured bacterium. RNAcentral describes it as "partial 16S ribosomal RNA". It matches the Rfam family "Bacterial small subunit ribosomal RNA", at positions 29 to 506 of the family's 1533-position model. The record is from RNAcentral.